GAUGAACGCUGGCGGCGUGCCUAAUACAUGCAAGUCGAGCGAACAGACGAGGAGCUUGCUCCUCUGACGUUAGCGGCGGACGGGUGAGUAACACGUGGAUAACCUACCUAUAAGACUGGGAUAACUUCGGGAAACCGGAGCUAAUACCGGAUAAUAUAUUGAACCGCAUGGUUCAAUAGUGAAAGACGGUUUUGCUGUAACUUAUAGAUGGAUCCGCGCCGCAUUAGCGAGUUGGUAAGGAAACGGCUUACAAAGGCAACGAUGCGUAGCCGACCUGAGAGGGUGGUCCGCCACACUGGAACUUAGACACCGUCCAGACUCCUACGGGAGGCAGCAGUAGGGAAUCUUCCGCAAAGGGCGAAAGCCUGACGGAGCAACGCCGCGUGAGUGAUGAAGGUCUUCGGAUCGUAAAACUCUGUUAUUAGGGAAGAACAAAUGUGUAAGUAACUAUGCACGUCUUGACGGUUCCUAAUCAGAAAGCCACGGCUAACUACGUG
Molecule: ribosomal RNA, 497 nt
Filed under: uncultured bacterium
Lineage: Bacteria
Description: partial 16S ribosomal RNA
Rfam family: Bacterial small subunit ribosomal RNA
Source: RNAcentral